This is a long non-coding RNA of Tachysurus fulvidraco (yellow catfish), 3266 nucleotides long. RefSeq lists it as uncharacterized. The record is from RefSeq and is a predicted model, not a curated record. The transcript is spliced from 5 exons. NCBI's taxonomy places the organism in Eukaryota, Metazoa, Chordata, Actinopteri, Siluriformes, Bagridae.
UCACCUUUAAGCACAAAAGCAUGGGUCAGUUUUUAAUGUCCUUAUUAAGAGCUUCAGAAUCUACAAACAUUGUCUGUUUCCCUAAAUGUCACAAACUAAUGGGUAACUAACAUGGAUUAGCUGUGGUCAUUAACCAAGGACUAAAACAAACCAACAGAACACGAAAUAUAAUUCCCUAACAUUCAACACCAUAAAACACAUUCUGACGUGUGUAAUGUGAUCCCUUCUGUCUGGGGUUUAGAUUUAUUUCGUUUUAACAACCAAACGCAGCACAGAAGUCCGGCAUCGUCCAUGUGUUUGAGGUAAAGGAGCACCGUACAAAGAUGGCGGCAGUUUUGACGCAUUUUUAGGACCCCAAGGCAACAUCUAGUGUAUAGAUAUCUGUGUAUGAUUGGUUAAGACCAUAUAUACAUAUCUACAUAGAUAUCUAUGGGGUAAUACGACAGUUAUACCUGGAUAUGACGGAGCUCUAUGAUUGGUUAAUACGACAGUUAUACCCGGAUAUGACGCAGCUCUAUGAUUGGUUAAUACGACAGUUAUACCUGGAUAUGACGGAGCUCUAUGAUUGGUUAAUACGACAGUUAUACCCGGAUAUGACGCAGCUCUAUGAUUGGGUAAUACGACAAUCCCCCACCCCCUUUUUUUUAAAGCGAAUGAAACAGAGGAGGAGGCGUGUUUCUGUAAACAGCUGGAUCACGUUGGGUUGUUGUUCAUCUACACAACUGGAGCAGACCUGAAAACUUCACCGGAUCUCAAGUGAUCAGACUAAAACAAGCAGAAAGAGAAAGGAGAAGUUUCCUGCAGUCAGUGUUAAUGACAGGGGACAAAACAACCUCAUGAACUUUAUCUACUUCACACUGAAUCACAGGAAAUGUCCUUCUUUGUGUGAGCUAAGAGCUGUGUGUGACAUCAGACAGCUGUUCUUUAUAACGUGUCUGUUUGUUUCUCCACAAGACAUCCAGACAUCCUGUCCCUCCUUUAUAUCUCCAUCUUAUGGCUCUGUGCCUGUGUGGACAGUGUAGAUCCUGAGGUUACUGUAUCAGCUCCAGUGGGUUCCACAGUCAUCCUGCCGUGUAAACUGCCUGAAGACUUCAAACUGACAUCACUUAUUAAGUGGUGGAUCAAAAUAUACCCUGUGUUCGAGAGAAACGAUAAUAGUAAUAGUUGAGGUAAAGGAUAUGAAGGACGUGUGGAUGUUCCUGUGGACGAGCUGCAUAAAGGAAACUGUUCCCUGGUGAUGAAGAACGUUAAUUUUACUGAUGACGGUUUAUACACAUCCGAAAGUACGGAACAUGUGGGCUCAAUGGAAUGGAAAGUAAUUAACAAUGUUAGACUCUCAGUCCAAGACCACAGUGUUGAUGAGAGAGGACCUUCAUCAGAUGAUUCAGACUCACAGCAGACUGGAGGGAACAACAGGAUUAUUUUAUAUGUUGGGAUCGUAAUCAUCAUCAUCAUCAUCUUCAUCUGUGUGUCUGUGUACUACAGCAGGGUGAAAGGUCUGAGACGUGUCACUGACGCCACUGAACAGGGACGGAAACAUUCAAAUAAAAUAACAUUUUAACCACUUUUUUGUUGUUAGAUUUUGGUUGUAGUUCAGGUGGGGAGUUUACAGAAACAUGGCAACCCUCCCUGCCUACUUUGGGUCACUGUCAUUUUAAAGGUACAUUAGACAAGAUCAGAAACUUUGGUCAGAAGAAACCACAAAGUCUUUUUAAACUUUACACUUCUGGACAUUUUGUGGUACUUUAUUUUCUGUGUUCUUUUUAUUUCCUUGUCAUGGAGCAGUUAUUUUGAGCACAGAGAAUGAUCUCGAUGUGCAGGUGAAAGUUCAGACUGAGAUGGAGCGAAGGAGCUUUGUGGGAUUUCUAUAAAUGAGACGAGAUUCAAACACAAACAAACCUGUUUCAGUCCCAUAAUACACUCGUGUUGAGGUCGUGACUUACAUCACUAUUAUUUAUUCACUAGUUUCCAGGUUCUGUGUUAGGGACAAGAGACAGUCACCAUCACACACAGUCUGGUGUUCUGUCUCUUACACUAAUAUUAUUUAUUUAUAGGAUUUAUUAUCAGUUAUUAAUGUAAUACGAAGCCACAAUAAUAAGCCAAGUGUUUAAGGGAUUAAAUUAGAAAUGUGACCAGAAAAGUGUGAAAUAUUCUAAUAAAUGUAAGUGAACAGAAUUCAGUAAACAGAACAGUUAAUGUCAAAGUUUACACAAUAAACAGGAAAAAAAAAUCUGUUCAGUGUUUCAUCAUCACCACCAUCACCAUCAUCAUCAUCUGAAUGUCUCUACAGGACGGAAACAGACAUCACAGUGUUCAGAACAACACAACGUCAGUGUGACGUACACAACAGUCACCACACAACCACAGAGUUAAUGACCAACACAAGAUCAUCUUAAACUUCAUCCCUGAGCCACUGAGCUGAUGUUCAUCUCUGGAGCUUCAUCACCAUGUCAGGAUCUUCUGAUUUACUGCAGAACUCAGAUCACACAUCAUGGACCAUCAGUUACUCUUCUAUCUAACCAGACUUGGUCAUGUGAUGUUACACUAAAUAAUGAACUGUGAUCAGCAGGAAUUUUUACGUUUAUAUUCAUUUUUUAAUAUAUAUUUUUAUAUUUUCAUGCAUAGGAACUUUAUAGGAACCUGGGUUCAGCUCAUUCCAGUAAUAUAUGUAUUAUGUACAUUAUAUUGCCUUAAGCUGAGAAUUGUGUGUGGUCUUUAAUAACUACCUGUGUAUUAAAUCUUUAUAUUCCGUCAUUACCAGACAGGGCAGAGCUCCACUGUGCCUAGUGUCUGUUUUGUGUCAAAUCUAAUAGAUAUAAACUGACAUGUGGAAAUGAGCUCUGUACUGUCCUCUGGCCAGAUGUGUUACUGCUGCUAUACACACUGUCCUCUGGCCAGAUGUGUUACUGCUGCUAUACACACUGUCCUCUGGCCAGAUGUGUUACUGCUGCUAUACAUACAGUCCUCUGGCCAGAUGUGUUACUGCUGCUAUACAUACAGUCCUCUGGCCAGAUGUGUUACUGCUGCUAUACACACUGUCCUCUGGCCAGAUGUGUUACUGCUGCUAUACACACUGUCCUCUGGCCAUCCAUGGCAGAGGGAGAGAGCCCCAAAAUAAAAAAUUAAUACUACAAAAACCUGUGUUGAAAAAUGCUGUAUACAAGCGAUGUAGUAGAUUACAAUCACCGACAUAAUCACAGCGCGCGGUCGUCUCUCCAUGGUGUGUGUGUGUGUGUGUGUGUGUGUGUGUCAGCGCGCGGUCGUCU